Molecule: ribosomal RNA, 253 nt
Filed under: uncultured bacterium
Lineage: Bacteria
Description: partial 16S ribosomal RNA
Rfam family: Bacterial small subunit ribosomal RNA
Source: RNAcentral
UACGGAGGGAGCUAGCGUUAUUCGGAAUUACUGGGCGUAAAGCGUACGUAGGCGGCUUUGUAAGUAAGAGGUGAAAGCCCGGAGCUCAACUCCGGAACUGCCUUUUAGACUGCAUCGCUUGAAUCCAGGAGAGGUGAGUGGAAUUCCGAGUGUAGAGGUGAAAUUCGUAGAUAUUCGGAAGAACACCAGUGGCGAAGGCGACUCACUGGACAUGUAUUGACGCUGAGGUGCGAAAGCGUGGGGAGCAAACAGG